CGACCGGCGCACGGGUGAGUAACGCGUAUGCAACCUGCCCGAUACCGGGGUAUAGCCCAUGGAAACGUGGAUUAACACCCCAUAGUACUUUUAUCCUGCAUGGGAUGUGAGUUAAAUGUUCAAGGUAUCGGAUGGGCAUGCGUCCUAUUAGUUAGUUGGCGGGGUAACAGCCCGCCAAGACGAUGAUAGGUAGGGGUUCUGAGAGGAAGGUCCCCCACAUUGGAACUGAGACACGGUCCAA
This 241-nucleotide ribosomal RNA is filed under the name uncultured bacterium. RNAcentral's name for it is "partial 16S ribosomal RNA". It matches the Rfam family "Bacterial small subunit ribosomal RNA", at positions 92 to 334 of the family's 1533-position model. The record is from RNAcentral.